CCAUCCUAAUGGAGAUGCUAAUGCCAGAAAGGCACAACGGUCCCAUUUAUACUGUGUUGGCAUGUGCCUGAGCCUAGGUAACAAAGGUUAGAGCUGUGUCCAGAGGUCUGGUUUGGGUCCUACCAUGUGCUCCAGCUAGCCCAGAUCUUGAAGGUUACUCUGAGCAUCAGCUGAAGCAAUCUGAUAGACCAUAUCACUGCUGAGCAAAUGGAGCCCAAGCCCAGUCUGCCUGCAUUGGAUGGAGAGUAGAUGUUAUCAUUGCUGCUGCCUCACUGGAGUGCUGAGCUUCACUCUGAGUUAACGCUCAGGGCAGGACUGUCUGGGAAAGGCUUCCUGUGCCUUUCCAUCAGGUUCCACGCUGCUUUCUGCUCGUGGCUUUUAAUAAGAGGAGAGGAUGUGCUAUCACUGCUGUGCAGCUCUAGGUGCUGGGAUCUGGGGAAAUACAUCUGUGUGCCCUUUCAAGGUGUAGGGAUGGCUUCUGUGUGGCUGUGGAGAGCCGAGAAAAGCCUGCUGAGCCAGGCAGCCCAUGCAGCUGAGGAAUCAGAGUUGGGAAACGAGGUCUCAAUGGGUGUCCAUCCAAACUGUGCUGUUCCUGCACAGAGCUGAAAGCCUUCUCCGUGGAACCAAUUAGACUUGUUAGGCCUGACAAAGUCACUUCUACAGCGCUGAACAAAUACCAGUGAGGUUUUAAUUUCCUCCCACAAUUGCUUGUGAUACCAGAAAACAUCAUCCAGUUUUGUUUAUAUUCGAGUAGCUCAAGUACAGCAAAAACAGAAGCAAUCAGAAAAGCAGCAGCAGGUUUAACAGAGAAAUGUUCUCUCAUAAAGCCUUCUGACUUUGCACAGGCUAGAUGCAAUCCCUUGGUAGAUGACAUUCUUUGCAAUAGGGUUUUAAUUGGCCUCCGACAGCUGCAGCAAGAUUGCUUCUGGAGUACCUGAGCUGCUGUUUCCAAUGCUGGUUCCAAUCUCAGUGUCGCAGUGUGCCAUCAGCACAUCUAACCAUGUUGAAUGGAGCAGGCUGGCCUCUGCUAGUGCUGAUGAAGAGAGAAACUCAGGUUGAACUUUUUAGUAAUUCCUCGUGCAUCAGCCUGUUUAUUGAAGAUGCCUAUAAAGGAGCUCAUCUAGGGAAGAGUAAUUGGAAAGUUCUGGAAAUGGAGCUCAUUCCAAAUGUCUUGGGAGUUACUGUGAAUGCCUGGUUGCAGUUGGAAACUCGAAGCGAUGACUUUAAUGGAUUAAAGCUGAUUCUGAAAGAAAUAUUACUGACUAUUUUAGAACAAUUUUCUUUAUAUGGAACUACUCGAGGCCUGCAAGCCUAUCUGGUGCCUGAAAGGAGGAAUGCUUUCUGUCACAGCAGUCCCAGAUACCUUCCAUUGAGCUUCCUUCUUGCUGUUUGCAAGCUGUGGUGAGCUGAAACAACUGUGCAGCAGUUACAUGCAAAUCCAUCCCCCCACUCUUCUCCCAGGGCUUAUCGAAAUAGCAGAGGAGUUGUCACACAUCCCAGAGUGGCAGAAAUGAUCAUCAGCGUUGACGUUCUGGGUGAGCAAUGUGCAGUGGGAAUUCAGGAAGCCCUUUAAAAAGUCUGGAUGUCUCCUAGGCUUUGCUUUGCUUUCAUUCUCUGCACAAAAAUCCCAACUUUUUUUUUUGGUAUUUAUUCUGAAAAUCGGCAGCCUAUAGCAGGAGAAGUUGCUAUUGCAGGAAGAAACAAGUUGACAGCUGACUGCUGAAAGGGCUGAUCCUGCAGCUGGCGUUGGUAUUGUGCUAACUUGCACCACAACUGCAGAGAUGUCUUAAGGGCCAAGAAGGAAGAAGAAGUUGGGCCGUCACAAAGCAUCUCUUCAGGGAAGGGAAAGGCUGUGGGAAGCUGCAGACGUGGCCGUGUUUUUCCUUGGGCUCUGUGUUGCAGGAGGCAGUUGUGCUGUUUGCACGUACAGGGGACGAUUGUGGUGAUUCCCACUGCAUGGAUAGCUCAGUGCUUCUGCUUCGUUUGCUUCUUCCUACGCUUGUGCAGCGUGGGUAGGAUGCCCUAAGGAGAAAAAAACAAGAUGAAGGCCACAUAAAAAAUUAAAGGAUUUUUUAAAAUUAAUAAUAAUUAAAAUGAGAUCUCAUGUGUUUAUAUUGUUAUUGGGACCAAACUGUUGGAGCAGCUCAACG
Long non-coding RNA from Lagopus leucura (white-tailed ptarmigan), 2150 nucleotides. RefSeq lists it as uncharacterized. The transcript has 3 exons. The record is from RefSeq and is a predicted model, not a curated record. Lineage: Eukaryota; Metazoa; Chordata; Aves; Galliformes; Phasianidae.